RNAcentral lists this transfer RNA (75 nucleotides) under Deltaproteobacteria bacterium RIFCSPHIGHO2_02_FULL_44_16. RNAcentral describes it as "tRNA-Cys". It matches the Rfam family "tRNA". Rfam says of the family: Transfer RNA (tRNA) molecules are approximately 80 nucleotides in length. Their secondary structure includes four short double-helical elements and three loops (D, anti-codon, and T loops). RNAcentral also lists the same sequence under 1 other name. The record is from RNAcentral. Lineage: Bacteria; Deltaproteobacteria.
GGCGGCGUAGCCAAGUGGUAAGGCGACGGUCUGCAAAACCGUUAUUCACCGGUUCGAACCCGGUCGCCGCCUCAA